This is a non-coding RNA of Pangasianodon gigas (Mekong giant catfish), 74 nucleotides long. Lineage: Eukaryota; Metazoa; Chordata; Actinopteri; Siluriformes; Pangasiidae. The record is from the annotation of a GenBank genome assembly.
GGAAGUGUUAGCUCAGUGGUUAUGAUGUUGGACUUCUACUCGUAAGGUUGUGAGUUCAAAUCCCAGCACCGCCA